Molecule: ribosomal RNA, 254 nt
Filed under: uncultured bacterium
Lineage: Bacteria
Description: partial 16S ribosomal RNA
Rfam family: Bacterial small subunit ribosomal RNA
Source: RNAcentral
CACGUAGGGUGCGAGCGUUGUCCGGAAUUAUUGGGCGUAAAGAGCUCGUAGGCGGCUUGGCAAGUCGGAUGUGAAAACUCCAGGCUCAACCUGGAGCCGCCAUUCGAUACUGCUAUGGCUAGAGUCCGGUAGGGGAGUGUGGAAUUCCCGGUGUAGCGGUGAAAUGCGCAGAUAUCGGGAGGAACACCGAUGGCGAAGGCAGCACUCUGGGCCGGUACUGACGCUGAGGAGCGAAAGCGUGGGGAGCGAACAGG